AAUGAACGUUGGCGGCGUGGAUUAGGCAUGCAAGUCGAGCGCUCAUAGCAAUAUGGGAGCGGCGAACGGCGUAGUAAUAUGUAGGAACGUACCCUCGGGUCGGGGAUAGCCAUGGGAAACUGUGGGUAAUACCCGAUAAUCUCUGCGGAGCAAAGGUGUGAUUCCGCCUGAGGAGCGGCCUACACGAUAUUAGCUAGUUGGUAGGGUAAUGGCCUACCAAGGCUACGAUGUCUAGGGGGGUGUGAGAGCAUGGCCCCCCACGACCGGAACUGAGAUACUGUCCGGACACCUACGGGUGGCUGCAGUCGAGAAUCUUCCGCAAUGGACGAAAGUCUGACGGAGCGACGCCGCGUGCGGGAUGAAGGCCCUUGGGUUGUAAACCGCUGUCAGAGGGGAUGAAAUCUUCGGAGGUGCUCCUCCAAAGUUGACAGAGCCUCAAAGGAAGCACGGGCUAAGUACGUG
RNAcentral lists this ribosomal RNA (462 nucleotides) under uncultured bacterium. RNAcentral describes it as "bacterial SSU rRNA". It matches the Rfam family "Bacterial small subunit ribosomal RNA", at positions 29 to 507 of the family's 1533-position model. The record is from RNAcentral.